This 2925-nucleotide ribosomal RNA is filed under the name Avibacterium endocarditidis. RNAcentral's name for it is "bacterial LSU rRNA". It matches the Rfam family "Bacterial large subunit ribosomal RNA". The record is from RNAcentral. Lineage: Bacteria; Pseudomonadati; Pseudomonadota; Gammaproteobacteria; Pasteurellales; Pasteurellaceae.
GUUGUAUAGUUAAGUGAGAAAGCGUACAGGGCGGAUGCCUUGGCAAUCAGAGGCGAAGAAGGACGUGCUAAUCUGCGAAAAGCGUGGGUGAGUUGAUAAGAAGCGUUUAACCCACGAUGUCCGAAUGGGGAAACCCGAUAGGCGAAGAGCCUAUCAUUACUAGGUGAAUAAAAUAGCCUCGUAAGGCGAACCGGGAGAACUGAAACAUCUAAGUACCCCGAGGAAAAGAAAUCAACCGAGAUUCUGUGAGUAGCGGCGAGCGAAAGCGGAGGAGCCAGUAAGUGAUAGCAUGUGAUUUAGGAGAAUUAGCUGGGAAGCUAAGCGACACAGGGUGAUAGCCCCGUAUCUAAAAAAUCGCGUGUGGUACUAAGCUUACGAAAAGUAGGGCGGGACACGAGGAAUCCUGUUUGAAGAUGGGGGGACCAUCCUCCAAGGCUAAAUACUCCUGAUUGACCGAUAGUGAACCAGUACUGUGAAGGAAAGGCGAAAAGAACCCCGGUGAGGGGAGUGAAAUAGAACCUGAAACCCUGUACGUACAAGCAGUGGGAGCCCGAAAGGGUGACUGCGUACCUUUUGUAUAAUGGGUCAGCGACUUAUAUUUUGUAGCGAGGUUAACUGAAUAAGGGAGCCGAAGGGAAACCGAGUCUUAACUGGGCGUUUAGUUGCAAGGUAUAGACCCGAAACCCGGUGAUCUAGCCAUGGGCAGGUUGAAGGUUGGGUAACACUAACUGGAGGACCGAACCGACUAAUGUUGAAAAAUUAGCGGAUGACCUGUGGCUGGGGGUGAAAGGCCAAUCAAACCGGGAGAUAGCUGGUUCUCCCCGAAAUCUAUUUAGGUAGAGCCUUGAGCGGACACCUUUGGGGGUAGAGCACUGUUUCGGCUAGGGGCCCAUCCCGGGUUACCAAACCGAUGCAAACUCCGAAUACCAAAGAGUGAUACUCAGGAGACACACGGCGGGUGCUAACGUCCGUCGUGGAGAGGGAAACAACCCAGACCGCCAGCUAAGGUCCCAAAAUCUAUAUUAAGUGGGAAACGAAGUGGGAAGGCUUAGACAGCUAGGAUGUUGGCUUAGAAGCAGCCACCAUUUAAAGAAAGCGUAAUAGCUCACUAGUCGAGUCGGCCUGCGCGGAAGAUGUAACGGGGCUAAAAUAUAGUACCGAAGCUGCGGCAUCAGUAGCAAUACUGUUGGGUAGGGGAGCGUUGUGUAAGCGGAAGAAGGUGAUUUGAGAGGAUUGCUGGACGUAUCACAAGUGCGAAUGCUGACAUAAGUAACGAUAAAACGGGUGAAAAACCCGUUCGCCGGAAGACCAAGGGUUCCUGUCCAACGUUAAUCGGGGCAGGGUGAGUCGGCCCCUAAGGCGAGGCUGAAAAGCGUAGUCGAUGGGAAACGGGUUAAUAUUCCCGUACUUGGAUAAACUGCGAUGUGGGGACGGAGUAGGUUAGGUUAGCGUACUGUUGGAGAUGUACGUUUAAGUUGGUAGGUGGGUGGACUAGGCAAAUCCGGUUCACUGUAAACACUGAGAGAUGAUGACGAGGCACUAAGGUGCUGAAGUAAUUGAUACCACACUUCCAGGAAAAGCCACUAAGCUUCAGGUUUAUCUAAACCGUACUGAAAACCGACACAGGUGGUCAGGUAGAGAAUACUCAGGCGCUUGAGAGAACUCGGGUGAAGGAACUAGGCAAAAUAGCACCGUAACUUCGGGAGAAGGUGCGCUGGCGUAGUGUGAAGUUCUUUGCGAAUGGAGCAUGAACCAGUCGAAGAUACCAGCUGGCUGCAACUGUUUAUUAAAAACACAGCACUCUGCAAACACGAAAGUGGACGUAUAGGGUGUGAUGCCUGCCCGGUGCUGGAAGGUUAAUUGAUGGUGUAAUCGAAAGAGAAGCUCCUGAUCGAAGCCCCAGUAAACGGCGGCCGUAACUAUAACGGUCCUAAGGUAGCGAAAUUCCUUGUCGGGUAAGUUCCGACCUGCACGAAUGGCAUAAUGAUGGCCAGGCUGUCUCCACCCGAGACUCAGUGAAAUUGAAAUCGCCGUGAAGAUGCGGUGUACCCGCGGCUAGACGGAAAGACCCCGUGAACCUUUACUAUAGCUUGACACUGAACCUUGAAUUUUGAUGUGUAGGAUAGGUGGGAGACUGUGAAGCGGUAACGCCAGUUAUCGUGGAGUCGUUGUUGAAAUACCACCCUUUAACGUUUGAUGUUCUAACGAAGUGCCUGAAACGGGUACUCGGACAGUGUCUGGUGGGUAGUUUGACUGGGGCGGUCUCCUCCCAAAGCGUAACGGAGGAGCACGAAGGUUUGCUAAUGACGGUCGGACAUCGUCAGGUUAGUGCAAUGGUAUAAGCAAGCUUAACUGCGAGACAGACAAGUCGAGCAGGUGCGAAAGCAGGUCAUAGUGAUCCGGUGGUUCUGAAUGGAAGGGCCAUCGCUCAACGGAUAAAAGGUACUCCGGGGAUAACAGGCUGAUACCGCCCAAGAGUUCAUAUCGACGGCGGUGUUUGGCACCUCGAUGUCGGCUCAUCACAUCCUGGGGCUGAAGUAGGUCCCAAGGGUAUGGCUGUUCGCCAUUUAAAGUGGUACGCGAGCUGGGUUUAGAACGUCGUGAGACAGUUCGGUCCCUAUCUGCCGUGGGCGUUGGAGAAUUGAGAGGGGCUGCUCCUAGUACGAGAGGACCGGAGUGGACGCAUCACUGGUGUACCAGUUGUCUCGCCAGAGGCACUGCUGGGUAGCUAAAUGCGGAAGAGAUAAGUGCUGAAAGCAUCUAAGCACGAAACUUGCCUUAAGAUGAGUUCUCCCUGACUUAGAGUCAGUAAGGGUUGUUGGAGACUACGACGUAGAUAGGCUGGGUGUGUAAGCGGUGUGAGCCGUUGAGCUAACCAGUACUAAUUGCCCGAGAGGCUUAACUAUACAACACUCAAGGGUUUUG